RNAcentral lists this ribosomal RNA (498 nucleotides) under uncultured bacterium. Its description in RNAcentral is "partial 16S ribosomal RNA". It matches the Rfam family "Bacterial small subunit ribosomal RNA", at positions 29 to 523 of the family's 1533-position model. The record is from RNAcentral.
AUUGAACGCUGGCGGCAUGCCUUACACAUGCAAGUCGAACGGUAACGCGGGGCAACCUGGCGACGAGUGGCGAACGGGUGAGUAAAGCAUCGGAACGUGCCCAGUAGUGGGGGAUAGCCCGGCGAAAGCCGGAUUAAUACCGCAUACGACCUACGGGUGAAAGGGGGGGAUCGCAAGACCUCUCGCUAUUGGAGCGGCCGAUGUCAGAUUAGCUUGUUGGUGGGGCAAAGGCCUACCAAGGCGACGAUCUGUAGCUGGUCUGAGAGGACGACCAGCAACCCGGGGACUGAGACAAAGCCCACACUCCUACGGGAGGCAGCAGUGGGGAAUUUUGGACAAUGGACGCAAGUCUGAUCCAGCCAUGCCGCGUGCAGGAAGAAGGCCUUCGGGUUGUAAACUGCUUUUGUCAGGGAAGAAAUCCUUUGGGUUAAUACCUCGGGGGGAUGACGGUACCUGAAGAAUAAGCACCGGCUAACUACGUGCCAGCAGCCGCCGCAG